Molecule: ribosomal RNA, 587 nt
Filed under: uncultured bacterium
Lineage: Bacteria
Description: bacterial SSU rRNA
Rfam family: Bacterial small subunit ribosomal RNA
Source: RNAcentral
CCUACGGGAGGCAGCAGUGGGGAAUUUUGGACAAUGGGCGCAAGCCUGAUCCAGCCAUGCCGCGUGUGGGAAGAAGGCCUUCGGGUUGUAAACCACUUUUGUCAGGGAAGAAACGGCUUUUUCUAAUACAGAGAGCUAAUGACGGUACCUGAAGAAUAAGCACCGGCUAACUACGUGCCAGCAGCCGCGGUAAUACGUAGGGUGCAAGCGUUAAUCGGAAUUACUGGGCGUAAAGCGUGCGCAGGCGGCUUUGCAAGACAGAUGUGAAAUCCCCGGGCUCAACCUGGGAACUGCAUUUGUGACUGCAUGGCUAGAGUACGGUAGAGGGGGAUGGAAUUCCGCGUGUAGCAGUGAAAUGCGUAGAUAUGCGGAGGAACACCGAUGGCGAAGGCAAUCCCCUGGACCUGUACUGACGCUCAUGCACGAAAGCGUGGGGAGCAAACAGGAUUAGAUACCCUGGUAGUCCACGCCCUAAACGAUGUCAACUGGUUGUUGGACGGCUUGCUGUUCAGUAACGAAGCUAACGCGUGAAGUUGGCCGCCUGGGGAGUACGGCCGCAAGGUUGAAACGUCAAAUGAAAUUGACGG